Gymnothorax javanicus (giant moray) is the source of this 73-nucleotide non-coding RNA. The record is from the annotation of a GenBank genome assembly. NCBI's taxonomy places the organism in Eukaryota, Metazoa, Chordata, Actinopteri, Anguilliformes, Muraenidae.
GGGUCUUUGGUGAUGUGGUCAGCACGUGUGACUCUUACCCAGGAGUCUACGGUUCAAACCCCGCUUGGGCCCU